AGAGUUUGAUCAUGGCUCAGAUUGAACGCUGGCGGCAUGCCUUACACAUGCAAGUCGAACGGUAACGCGGGGCAACCUGGCGACGAGUGGCGAACGGGUGAGUAAUACAUCGGAACGUGUCCAAUAGUGGGGGGAUAGCCCGGCGAAAGCCGGAUUAAUACCGCAUACGACCUACGGGUGAAAGCGGGGGAUCGAAAGACCUCGUGCUAUCGGAGCGGCCGAUGUCAGAUUAGGUAGUUGGUGGGGUAAAGGCCUACCAAGCCGACGAUCUGUAGCUGGUCUGAGAGGACGACCAGCCACACUGGGACUGAGACACGGCCCAGACUCCUACGGGAGGCAGCAGUGGGGAAUUUUGGACAAUGGGCGCAAGCCUGAUCCAGCCAUGCCGCGUGCGGGAAGAAGGCCUUCGGGUUGUAAACCGCUUUUGUCAGGGAAGAAACGCGCCGAGCCAAUACCUUGGCGUAAUGACGGUACCUGAAGAAUAAGCACCGGCUAACUACGUGCCAGCAGCCGCGGUAAUACGUAGGGUGCAAGCGUUAAUCGGAAUUACUGGGCGUAAAGCGUGCGCAGGCGGCUUUGCAAGACAGAUGUGAAAUCCCCGGGCUCAACCUGGGAACUGCAUUUGUGACUGCAUGGCUGGAGUGCGGCAGAGGGGGAUGGAAUUCCGCGUGUAGCAGUGAAAUGCGUAGAUAUGCGGAGGAACACCGAUGGCGAAGGCAAUCCCCUGGGCCUGCACUGACGCUCAUGCACGAAAGCGUGGGGAGCAAACAGGAUUAGAUACCCUAGUAGUCC
Molecule: ribosomal RNA, 792 nt
Filed under: uncultured bacterium
Lineage: Bacteria
Description: bacterial SSU rRNA
Rfam family: Bacterial small subunit ribosomal RNA
Source: RNAcentral